AGUGAACGCUGGCGGUAGGCCUAACACAUGCAAGUCGAACGGCAGCACAGUAAGAGCUUGCUCUUACGGGUGGCGAGUGGCGGACGGGUGAGGAAUACAUCGGAAUCUACUUUUUCGUGGGGGAUAACGUAGGGAAACUUACGCUAAUACCGCAUACGACCUACGGGUGAAAGCAGGGGAUCUUCGGACCUUGCGCGAUUGAAUGAGCCGAUGCCGGAUUAGCUAGUUGGCGGGGUAAAGGCCCACCAAGGCGACGAUCCGUAGCUGGUCUGAGAGGAUAAUCAGCCACACUGGAACUGAGACACGGUCCAGACUCCUACGGGAGGCAGCAGUGGGGAAUAUUGGACAAUGGGCGCAAGCCUGAUCCAGCCAUACCGCGUGGGUGAAGAAGGCCUUCGGGUUGUAAAGCCCUUUUGUUGGGAAAGAAAAGCAGCAGGUUAAUACCCCGCUGUUCUGACGGUACCCAAAGAAUAAGCACCGGCUAACUUCGUG
RNAcentral lists this ribosomal RNA (492 nucleotides) under uncultured bacterium. RNAcentral's name for it is "partial 16S ribosomal RNA". It matches the Rfam family "Bacterial small subunit ribosomal RNA", at positions 29 to 507 of the family's 1533-position model. The record is from RNAcentral.